This 338-nucleotide unclassified non-coding RNA is filed under the name soil metagenome. RNAcentral describes it as "partial contains 5.8S ribosomal RNA, internal transcribed spacer 2, and large subunit ribosomal RNA". The stretch from base 1 to 120 matches the Rfam family "5.8S ribosomal RNA", at positions 35 to 154 of the family's 154-position model. The record is from RNAcentral.
GAUGAAGAACGUAGCGAAAUGCGAUACGUAGUGUGAAUUGCAGAAUUCAGUGAAUCAUCGAAUCUUUGAACGCACAUUGCACCUCUCGGUAUUCCGGGAGGUAUGCCUGUUCGAGCGUCAUUUGUACCCUCAAGCUCUGCUUGGUGUUGGGUGUUUGUUCCGCCUCUGUGUGUGAACUCGCCUCAAAACAAUUGGCAGCCGGCGUACUUGUUUCGGAGCGCAGCACAUUUUGCGAUCCAGAUCACGUACAGCGGCAUCCAAGAAGCCUUAUUUAACGCUCUUGACCUCGGAUCAGGUAGGGAUACCCGCUGAACUUAAGCAUAUCAAUAAGCGGAGGA